RNAcentral lists this small nuclear RNA (23 nucleotides) under Arabidopsis thaliana (thale cress). RNAcentral's name for it is "snRNA_15068". Lineage: Eukaryota; Viridiplantae; Streptophyta; Magnoliopsida; Brassicales; Brassicaceae. The record is from RNAcentral.
ACCGGAUCACCGUAAACAAAAGU